UGGUCUUGAACUCCUUGAACUCCUGACUUUAGGUGAUCCACUCGCCUCCACCUCCCAAAGUGCUGGGAUUAUGGGUGUGAGCCACAGCACCCGGCCUGAACCUCAUCUCUCUUUAUAAGACUUCACCACCUAACCUUCCAGACACAGGUGGUGAAUUCCUGAAACCUGAUGGUGGUUUAGAUUCUGGGUUACUGAGAAUAACUGUCUACCACAACGCUUACAGUCCCAGAAGAGGAGAGAUUCUUUCUUUCUCCCAGGAUUGGUCUGUUUCAAUCUCUGAAAAGGACUCUGACUGGUCUUGCUUGGAUCCUUUGCUGGCCCUGUAACCAAUUAAUGCUUAAGGUUCUGAGAUGGCAACUGCUGGUUUCAUUUGUCUGGAGAUUUCAUCUUUCAGAGCUGUCAAGGAUUUUAGUGGCUAUAAGGAGAGAACUCUGAUGAUAAAGUUUAUUGAUUCAUGACUGCAUUCAUAUAAAACACUAAAUGGAAUUUUGAAUGGCAAGAAACAUGUUUUGUACAUUCAAUAAAUGAGAAUCUGUGUAUCAUGAAAAUGGUAACACUUAGUAUGAUAAUUUUCAGUUUAUAAAGUGUUUUAUUUAAUUCUGACAAUAAUCCUGUAAGGUAGCUGAGUUGUUGAGUUAUAGUAGCACUCAAUGUAUACCCUUCAACCCCUGCCACAAACACACAAAUGCAUGUUCAGUUUUCUUUCAUAUACAAAAUAUCCCAUCUCCCCAAACCGUUACCCCAUCUCAUACUUUGUUCACUUCUAAAAUUCCUGGAAAGGUGAAAUGUUCCCAUAACUGUCUUCAACUCAUCACUACCACUCCAUGAGAUCUGGUCUAAUCUUUGCCAUUAUAGAAAAUCUCACUUAGUUACUAAUAACUUCCUUGUUGCUAAAUGUAGUGAAGUUUCCUCUAUAUGUAUCAUUCGAAG
Molecule: long non-coding RNA, 930 nt
Filed under: Homo sapiens (human)
Lineage: Eukaryota; Metazoa; Chordata; Mammalia; Primates; Hominidae
Description: HSALNT0018738
Source: RNAcentral